Molecule: ribosomal RNA, 305 nt
Filed under: uncultured bacterium
Lineage: Bacteria
Description: partial 16S ribosomal RNA
Rfam family: Bacterial small subunit ribosomal RNA
Source: RNAcentral
UUACCUACGGGGGGCAGCAGUGGGGGAUAUUGGACAAUGGGGGGAACCCUGAUCCAGCGACGCCGCGUGAGUGAAGAAGUAUCUCGGUAUGUAAAGCUCUAUCAGCAGGGAAGAAAGAAAUGACGGUACCUGAGUAAGAAGCCCCGGCUAACUACGUGCCAGCAGCCGCGGUAAUACGUAGGGAGCAAGCGUUAUCCGGAUUUACUGGGUGUAAAGGGCGUGUAGGCGGGCUUGUAAGUCAGAAGUGAAAUCUGGGGGCUUAACCCCCAAACUGCUUUUGAAACUGCGGGUCUUGAGUGAUGGAG